GCUAGCCUAUUAGGGGUUGCACCCUCAACCAUAUAAACCAUGCUUUCCCACCCUCACCACACAAUGUGGGACUAUUCCCAACAGUCUCCCAUCACACAUUGUGAGCCGAGAUUUGUCUGAGAAUGCACUGGGCCAACCUGCCUCUGAUACCAAUUGUUGGAACCGGACCGCCGACACAUGGCGUGUCCGUCAGGGCCGCCCGCACACACGGCGCGCCCACCCAGGCUGUCGGGCCGCGACACACGCGCCCGCACAUAUAGCAACGGGCUUUAGGUCUCUUGGGCCAACACUCCCCCAAAAAGCUAGCCUGUUAGGGGUUGCACCCUCAACCAUAUAAACCAUGCUUUCCCACCCUCGCCACACAAUGUGGGACUAUUCCCAACAAUCUCCCCCUCACACAUUAUGAGCCGAGAUUUGUCUGAGAAUGCACUGGGCCAACCUGCCUCUGAUACCAAUUGUUGGAACCGGACCGCCGACACAUGGCGUGUCCGUCGGGGCCGCCCGCACACACGGCGCGCCCACCCAGGCUGUCGGGCCGCGACACACGCGCCCGCACGUAUAGCAA
This 565-nucleotide long non-coding RNA is filed under the name Zea mays. Its description in RNAcentral is "long non-coding RNA (ZMAY_LNC002102)". Lineage: Eukaryota; Viridiplantae; Streptophyta; Magnoliopsida; Poales; Poaceae. The record is from RNAcentral.